Molecule: long non-coding RNA, 456 nt
Filed under: Setaria viridis
Lineage: Eukaryota; Viridiplantae; Streptophyta; Magnoliopsida; Poales; Poaceae
Description: long non-coding RNA (SVIR_LNC001669)
Source: RNAcentral
AUCGCCGCCGCCCAAGCCUUAGUGCUUCAGACCUUCCGCCCAAGUCUGCAACUUCUUGACCCCAAGCUUCACCUAUAAACCGGAGGUAAGCUGCCAACCCCUUUCCGGUUCGCCCGACCCCUUUCUGGUUCGCCCGACCCCUUUCUGGUUCGCCCGACCCUGUCUAUUCCGCCGACCCUUUUUCCGCCUCGCCCGAGGGCUCAGCUGUAUCUGUUUCCUUGACCGAGGGUAUCUGUGUAAAAGAUCGGGAUUUCUCUGCGUCAAGUCCGAGGACCCCGGACACAGUUAUUCCUUAAAGUUUAAGGGUCAGAUCACAAGUCUAUUCCCAUCCGACCCUUUUAUCUUGCCCUCCACCAACUAAAGCAAACUCCCCCACCUUUUCUAUAACCUUGCUACAAGUGUCCGAGCUUAAACCGCAAGUGUUGUUGAAAUAACCACCUCAACACUAACCCCUGC